This 479-nucleotide ribosomal RNA is filed under the name uncultured organism. RNAcentral's name for it is "partial 16S ribosomal RNA". It matches the Rfam family "Bacterial small subunit ribosomal RNA", at positions 330 to 800 of the family's 1533-position model. The record is from RNAcentral.
CGUACACUCCUGCGGGAGGCAGCAGUGGGGAAUAUUGCACAAUGGGCGCAAGCCUGAUGCAGCCAUGCCGCGUGUAUGAAGAAGGCCUUCGGGUUGUAAAGUACUUUCAGCGGGGAGGAAGGCGAUAAGGUUAAUAACCUUGUCGAUUGACGUUACCCGCAGAAGAAGCACCGGCUAACUCCGUGCCAGCAGCCGCGGUAAUACGGAGGGUGCAAGCGUUAAUCGGAAUUACUGGGCGUAAAGCGCACGCAGGCGGUCUGUCAAGUCGGAUGUGAAAUCCCCGGGCUCAACCUGGGAACUGCAUUCGAAACUGGCAGGCUAGAGUCUUGUAGAGGGGGGUAGAAUUCCAGGUGUAGCGGUGAAAUGCGUAGAGAUCUGGAGGAAUACCGGUGGCGAAGGCGGCCCCCUGGACAAAGACUGACGCUCAGGUGCGAAAGCGUGGGGAGCAAACAGGAUUAGAAACCCCAGUAGUCCCAUGA